This 465-nucleotide ribosomal RNA is filed under the name uncultured bacterium. Its description in RNAcentral is "partial 16S ribosomal RNA". It matches the Rfam family "Bacterial small subunit ribosomal RNA", at positions 28 to 507 of the family's 1533-position model. The record is from RNAcentral.
GACGAACGCUGGCGGCGUGCUUAACACAUGCAAGUCGAACGGAAAGGCCCCUUUGGGGGUACUCGAGUGGCGAACGGGUGAGUAACACGUGAGUAACCUGCCCUUGACUUCGGGAUAACUUCAGGAAACUGGGGCUAAUACCGGAUAGGAAUCCUUGCUGCAUGGUGGGGGUUGGAAAGCUUCGGCGGUUUUGGAUGGACUCGCGGCUUAUCAGCUUGUUGGUGGGGUAGUGGCUUACCAAGGCUUUGACGGGUAGCCGGCCUGAGAGGGCGACCGGCCACAUUGGGACUGAGAUACGGCCCAGACUCCUACGGGAGGCAGCAGUGGGGAAUAUUGCACAAUGGGCGGAAGCCUGAUGCAGCAACGCCGCGUGCGGGAUGACGGCCUUCGGGUUGGAAACCGCUUUCAGCAGGGGCGAAGCUUGUGAUGACGGUACCUGCAGAAGAAGCACCGGCUAACUACGUG